RNAcentral lists this transfer RNA (77 nucleotides) under Methyloprofundus sp. RNAcentral describes it as "tRNA-Glu". It matches the Rfam family "tRNA". From Rfam's summary of the family: Transfer RNA (tRNA) molecules are approximately 80 nucleotides in length. Their secondary structure includes four short double-helical elements and three loops (D, anti-codon, and T loops). The record is from RNAcentral. Lineage: Bacteria; Pseudomonadati; Pseudomonadota; Gammaproteobacteria; Methylococcales; Methylococcaceae.
GCACCCAUCGUCUAGUUGGACUAGGACAUUGCCCUUUCACGGCAAGAACACGGGUUCGAAUCCCGUUGGGUGUACCA